Mangifera indica (mango) is the source of this 3375-nucleotide RNA transcript. It is a transcript of the gene named probable ADP-ribosylation factor GTPase-activating protein AGD14, with no coding region annotated. The record is from RefSeq and is a predicted model, not a curated record. Lineage: Eukaryota; Viridiplantae; Streptophyta; Magnoliopsida; Sapindales; Anacardiaceae. The transcript is spliced from 16 exons.
GUUCCAACGGUCUACAACCAGUCACCUUACCAUUAUUACCGCCAAGUUUCUCUCUCUUUCGCUCACCUUGUAACUUUUUCUUUCUCUCUCUUUAAUCCUGAUCGUCGAUUUCCUUUUGCACACUUGUCGUCUUCUGAGUGGUGCAAUACCUCCAAUUGUUUCCGAUUCGUCUCGCCUGUCUAGUGCAAUCUCCAAUUCUCCACGAUUCAUCUCGCCUGCCUAUCUUCACUUUCUCUCACACUUCACAUUCCUAGGGUUUCUGCGCUCAAAUUCUUCCUGUAAAUUGCCUGUGUGCCUGUGUUUGAGGUCUUAAUUCAAUGAAGACGUCUAAUCGAAUAAAAGAAGAAGAGAGAAUCGAAGGGAUAAUUCGAGGUCUCAUGAAGCGUCCGGAGAAUCGGACAUGUAUCAAUUGCAAUAGUUUGGGACCACAAUAUGUUUGCACAACAUUCUUGACUUUUGUUUGCACAAACUGCAGUGGAGUUCAUCGGGAAUUCACACAUCGCGUGAAAUCAAUAUCAAUGGCUAAAUUUAGUGCAGAAGAAGUUAGUGCCCUUCAAGCAGCAGGGAAUGAGAGAGCAAGGCAAAUUUAUUUAAAGGGGUGGGAUCCUCACCGUAAUUCUUAUCCUGACGGCAGUAAUCUUCGCAAACUUCGGGAUUUUAUCAAGCACGUCUAUGUGGAUAGAAAGUACACCGGUGAGAACAGUGGCACACUUCCAAGGCUGAGAUUGGGUGAAAAUGAGGAUGCCUAUGAAAGCGGCUGGAAGGUUAGUAGGUAUCGUAUUGAAUCUAAAAGUCCACGUUAUGAGAUCAGAUAUGAACUUUCUUCUAGUGAAAGAUCUCAUUCUGGUAGAAGAAGUAAUGACAGAAAUUCGGGAUAUCUUUCCGAUGAUAGAAGUCCUCGAUAUAACCCAGAAAAUUCAAGAUUUGGAGGUUACCAAAAAUCCCCUGUCCGCAUUGAGAUUGUCGAUAAUAGGUUUCGAGAUGUCACAUCUCCAAGUGGCAGACAAACUGGCAGCCGUAACUUUACAAAUGGAGAUGAGAGGUCUGGGAGCGGGUCUCCUGACAGUCAAACAAUCAAGAAUAGCUCCAACGCCUUGGGGCCACGUUCAAAAGCAACUGAUGGCAAGGAUCCUGAAGGUUCUGCUAACAGUCAGAAGAUUGCACUGUCUCGUGAUCUGCUUAGUGAUGCUAAUCCAGAGGAAAAUGCACCCUCCAGUAGUCUGGUUCCUGUUGAUGGGAAUCCGGUGGAACAUCAUAAAAAGAAUUCAGAAAGCUUGAUCAAUUUCAGCGAAGAUCCAGAGCCUCCUGAUGCUUCCUUAGCAGCACCACAAACACAGCAAAUUACUCCUAGUGAUCCCGGGAACCAGCCAUCAAAUGAACCUUCCUCGAAGGAGACAACAAAGACAUCCCCAAUGCCGAAUACUUUGGAAUUUCUAAUUUUUGAAUUGUCAGCUCCCCUGGCUGCACAAAACAAUGAUGAUGCUCCUUCAACUGUAUCUGCGAGCAACAUUCCUGAAGGUGGUGUGUCGUCUGUUGUGCCUUCAAUGGGUGACCUUUUGGCUUCUGCACCUGCAUCAACUACCAAUAUGGCUUUGCAACCAUAUGGGAUUUCUGUUGCUUCAUCAGCUUUUCCAUUAGGACAGAUGUCAACAGUACCCAGUAGUUUUGGCGCUUCUCCAACUGCCUCUACUGCUAAUAUGUUGGUGCAUCCAUCUGAAGGAAACAUGGCCGUGAGUGGUGUUUCACCAGCUCCACCUUCAGAAAAGAUGGCAUUAGUUAGUGUUAGUGACUCUCUAACUGCUUCAUCCAACAGCACUGUGCCAGUUGCUCCUUUGCUUGCAGGUUCUCCACAGGCAGCACCUGAUAUUAAUGUUGAACCUACUCUCAAAGUUCCUGAUGGGCAACAAUUGAGCAGCAUGCAGCUAUAUCAGCCUAUGCCAUCCUCUGAUACGGAUAAUAGAAGUUCUGCACAGCAGACUGCUACCCCUGUUGAAGAUGUAAAUAACCAGCUAUCGUUAUCAGCACUCGUCCCUUACAGUCAAGGACCUUCUGGGGAUUCCGCUGAACAGUCAUCUGAAACUGUCUCACGAGCAGUCCAAGACACCACUUCCAAAGUUGGAUCUAAGCUUGUUCAUGUGGAAUCAAAGUCUACUGGAAGAAAGGAAUUACCAGCGGACCUUUUUACUGCAAGCUAUGGACCUGCACCAGUUCCUCAUUGGCAAACUGUUAACACUCAUUCGAUGGGAUACGGAAUGCAGCAGUAUUCUAAUCCAAUGAUUAUGCCAGUUUAUCCCAUUCAAUCAAGAUCCACAAACCCAUUUGACGUUCACAGUGAAACAGCUCAAACGCAAGUGCCAGCAUUUCCAUCUAUGGCGUCUCUGCAAGGAUCACUUCCUAACGCAGGCUUACUGCAUACAUCAAAUGCUGGUGCUCAUUCUCUGGGGUUAAUGUUGCCACAAUCAUCAUCUUAUGCAUCCGCAGUGCACCCAAAAUCCAGCUCAUUUUCAUCAAAUAUGUCUCCAAGCGCAUUCAUGGGGCAACAAGUACAUACAAAUAUGGCAUCUUCAAGACCACAAGGAGUUAAUGGUUUUGGCAGUGAUUUUACUGUUUUGGGCUCCUCAAUCACACCACGGCUACCAACAGGCGGAUACUCUUUACCUAGCACCACAAAUUCUUUUUCUUCGAUGGGAGGAAAUCCAUUCGGAUAGUGGAUUAGAAAGAAUACAGUUUCUUACAAUCUAGUGUCAGUACUGUUUAGGACUCCGAGCAUCUGUAGGAAGUGGCUCAUCUUUGAUAUGGUUGGCAAACAAACGAAAUCAGAUCACUGAAUUGGUGGUAUAUAUCUUCUAAACUCCAGCCAAAAGGAAAAGAACAUUUCAAAAGACAGCAAGAAGCAUUGAAGUUAUCAUUGCAAACCCAGCUACUGUCAAAGUUCAUGAUUGUUCGACAUGAAUGAACACUCUGAACAUGAGAGGAGGCAGAGAUAAAGUGUCGAUCGAGUAGGAUCCAGAAAUGUGAAGUAUUUUAUUUUAGAGUUGAUGAUAGAUAACAAGGGACCAAGCAGGGACUACACAAGUUCUCAAAACAGCUAAUGAAUCAGCCAUGUAUCUGGAUUUGCUUGGAGAAUUUGACGGAGUUUCUGGUGAAAUCUGGGUAGUUUGGCUAUUUGGGAUUUGCUGGUUCUGGAAGUCCAUGGUAGACAUUUGAAAGUAGUGGAGAAUGUAAAGGAAAGAGGUUUGUUUUUAUACUUCCUAACAAAGUGAAUGUGUGCCGUUAAUUGUGGCGAAUCGAUUCUUCUCUAAUAGAUCAAGAACCCUUAUUAAUCAUCAAAAAGCGAAUUCAUUCCCAAAGAAUAGGCAAUCCUUAAUAUUCCAA